Molecule: transfer RNA, 82 nt
Filed under: Ankistrodesmus falcatus
Lineage: Eukaryota; Viridiplantae; Chlorophyta; Chlorophyceae; Sphaeropleales; Selenastraceae
Description: tRNA-Leu
Rfam family: tRNA
About the family: Transfer RNA (tRNA) molecules are approximately 80 nucleotides in length. Their secondary structure includes four short double-helical elements and three loops (D, anti-codon, and T loops). Further hydrogen bonds mediate the characteristic L-shaped molecular structure. tRNAs have two regions of fundamental functional importance: the anti-codon, which is responsible for specific mRNA codon recognition, and the 3' end, to which the tRNAs corresponding amino acid is attached (by aminoacyl-tRNA synthetases). tRNAs cope with the degeneracy of the genetic code in two manners: having more than one tRNA (with a specific anti-codon) for a particular amino acid; and 'wobble' base-pairing, i.e. permitting non-standard base-pairing at the 3rd anti-codon position.
Source: RNAcentral
GCUUGUUUGGCGAAAUGGUAGACGCGUGCGGCUUAAAUCCGUAUAACAACAUGUUUUGUGGGUUCAAAUCCCACAACAAGCA